UACGGAGGUUGCAAGCGUUACUCGGAAUCACUGGGCGUAAAGGGCGCGUAGGCGGCCUAGCAAGUCCGGUGUGAAAGCCCAGGGCUCAACCCUGGAAGUGCACUGGAAACUGUUAGGCUUGAGUUCCGGAGAGGAGGGGGGAAUUCCCGGUGUAGCGGUGAAAUGCGUAGAUAUCGGGAGGAAUACCGGUGGCGAAGGCGCCCCUCUGGACGGAAACUGACGCUGAGGCGCGAAAGCGUGGGGAGCAAACAGG
Molecule: ribosomal RNA, 253 nt
Filed under: uncultured bacterium
Lineage: Bacteria
Description: partial 16S ribosomal RNA
Rfam family: Bacterial small subunit ribosomal RNA
Source: RNAcentral